RNAcentral lists this long non-coding RNA (473 nucleotides) under Rattus norvegicus (Norway rat). Its description in RNAcentral is "long non-coding RNA NONRATT013530". Lineage: Eukaryota; Metazoa; Chordata; Mammalia; Rodentia; Muridae. The record is from RNAcentral.
GAUAUUGCCAUGUAUGCCUGGCAGCACUUGCACUUGCUACCCUCUUGCCUCCUCCAUUUGAGUGCUGGAAAAACAGGCAGGAGCCCCCACAUCUGGCUGCUGUGCCCGGCUUGUUGAUGGAGGAGUGUUCUUAGUGAUCCUGUUGGGUUUGAAGCUGCCUGCUUCUCUGAGGAAAUCAAGUUACAAACUUGCUUCAUAGCUCUGCAUAGCACUUCGUUGUUUUUCUUUUUUAUCGCGGGUGGAAACAACCUUGAAAAUGGCAGAGUCACAAAGAGAAAAGCGCACCUGGGCCAUUAGACCUGGGGCAGCUUUGUGUCUCAGGCUUCUCAGGAUGGUUUCUGAAGUCUGAAAGAUCCGGAUUCUGGACUAGCACAGUUUAAAGCCAGACGUCGUGUGUUAGAGGAGACACAGCAUCACCAUCCGGACUUCAUCCUUCUUCAGAAGAAUUGAUACUUAAGACACGGUUUCUAAAU